GACGAACGCUGGCGGCGUGCUUAACACAUGCAAGUCGAACGGAAAGGCCCUGCUUUUGUGGGGUGCUCGAUUGGCGAACGGGUGAGUAACACGUGAGUAACCUGCCCUUGACUUUGGGAUAACUCCACGAAACUGGGGCUAAUACCGGAUAGGAGCUCCUGCUGCAUGGUGGGGGUUGGAAAGUUUCGGCGGUUGGGGAUGGACUCGCGGCUUAUCAGCUUGUUGGUGGGGUAGUGGCUUACCAAGGGUUUGACGGGUAGCCGGCCUGAGAGGGUGACCGGCCACAUUGGGACUGAGAUACGGCCCAGACUCCUACGGGAGGCAGCAGUGGGGAAUAUUGCACAAUGGGCGGAAGCCUGAUGCAGCAACGCCGCGUGCGGGAUGACGGCCUUCGGGUUGUAAACCGCUUUCGCCUGUGACGAAGCGUGAGUGACGGUAAUGGGUAAAGAAGCACCGGCUAACUACGUG
RNAcentral lists this ribosomal RNA (468 nucleotides) under uncultured bacterium. Its description in RNAcentral is "partial 16S ribosomal RNA". It matches the Rfam family "Bacterial small subunit ribosomal RNA", at positions 28 to 507 of the family's 1533-position model. The record is from RNAcentral.